This 253-nucleotide ribosomal RNA is filed under the name uncultured bacterium. RNAcentral describes it as "partial 16S ribosomal RNA". It matches the Rfam family "Bacterial small subunit ribosomal RNA", at positions 524 to 776 of the family's 1533-position model. The record is from RNAcentral.
UACAGAGGGUGCGAGCGUUGUCCGGAAUCACUGGGCGUAAAGGGCGCGUAGGCGGCUUGAUAAGCGUGCGGUGAAAGCCUGGGGCUCAACCCCGGGUCGGCCGUGCGAACUGGGGGGCUGGAGCACUGUAGAGGCAGGCGGAAUUCCGGGUGUAGCGGUGGAAUGCGUAGAGAUCCGGAAGAACACCGGUGGCGAAGGCGGCCUGCUGGGCAGUUGCUGACACUGAGGCGCGACAGCGUGGGGAGCAAACAGG